Molecule: long non-coding RNA, 218 nt
Organism: Oxyura jamaicensis (ruddy duck)
Lineage: Eukaryota; Metazoa; Chordata; Aves; Anseriformes; Anatidae
Exons: 3
Source: RefSeq, a predicted model, not a curated record
CUGUCACGAGCUGGAGCCAAAACAUAGCCAGAGGUGCAGAUGAACUGGAGAUGCAAUGAGCUGGAGAUGUCCAGGAAACUUCCAGGUCUGGAGACAUCCACAAGCUGGAGCAGUAAAUGAGCUGGAGAAGUCCAGGGCUAACUGAUCAGUAAUUGCAAACUAGUUAGACAGUAUCCAUACAGCGUACAACGGUGACUUUCAAUGUUCAUGUUACAACA